CCUACGGGUGGCAGCAGUAAGGGAUAUUGGUCAAUGGGGGAAACCCUGAACCAGCAACGCCGCGUGAGGGAAGACGGUUUUCGGAUUGUAAACCUCUGUCCUCUGUGAAGAUGAUGACGGUAGCAGAGGAGGAAGCCCCGGCUAACUACGUGCCAGCAGCCGCGGUAAUACGUAGGGAGAGAGCGUUGUCCGGAUUUACUGGGGGUAAAGGGUGCGGAGGCGGCUUGGCAAAUCAUGAGUGAAAUCCAUGGGCUUAACCCAUGAAUUGCUAUUGAAACUGGCGAGCUUGAGUGAAGUAGAGGUAGGCGGAAGUCCCGGUGUAGCGGUGAAAUGCGUAGAGAUCGGGAGGAACACCAGUGGCGAAGGCGGCCUACUGGGCUUUAACUGACGCUGAGGGACGAAAGCGUGGGUAGCAAACAGGAUUAGAUACCCGGGUAGUC
Molecule: ribosomal RNA, 440 nt
Filed under: uncultured bacterium
Lineage: Bacteria
Description: partial 16S ribosomal RNA
Rfam family: Bacterial small subunit ribosomal RNA
Source: RNAcentral